Molecule: long non-coding RNA, 1951 nt
Filed under: Serinus canaria (Common canary)
Lineage: Eukaryota; Metazoa; Chordata; Aves; Passeriformes; Fringillidae
Description: lncRNA (ENSSCAG00000011289.1)
Source: RNAcentral
CAGGGUCAGAAAAACCCUGGGGCUUGUACACAGGAAGUGUUACUUGAUGACAAAUGUUUUUAAGACAAAUUACUAUUUGCCAGAGUAGUAAUUCAGCCCUCUUCACAACUAUCAGAGAAACCUGAUGCUUGAUAGAAAAUGAUAGAAUACAGCAGUUUAGAGGGAAUUAUUAAUUGCUUUAUUUGAAAGCUGGGAAUUAAUUAUUUAAGUAUAAUUAUUAAUUAAUUGCCAUAUUGCGAACAAAAUCUAUUAGCAAAUAUCCUACUUUACUUCAACAAAGCUGUGUGGAAAGAAGUAUUAUUUCUUUUUCAUUUUUUUUUUCCUCUAUUGCAAACAGAAGCACAUUGUCCUGGACACUGUUUUUUUCUGACUCACACUUACGCAUCGGAUGGAAAGGGGACAGGUCAUUUUGGCCAAACUGUUAGAGUUAAGAGGUGAAUUUCCCAGUGCAGGUGAGAGAAAUUUCUUGGUGUUCUUUGUUGGCAGUGUUCUUCACGUUGUUUCACCCAAAUAUGUUUAUUUAAAACUCUAACAAAUUGCAGCGGCAAAGCUCUGUAAUUUACUAACCAAUUCCCUGUCCCAGGACAUGCUCUGCUCUCUGUUUCUUGCAGAGCACUCGCUCGUGGUCACAGACACUGCUUCAGCCAAGGAGGGAGAUAAAGGGCAGCAAAGGCCUUGGGAGCUGCCAGAUGGGGAGCAGUGGGCAGCAAGGAUUACUCUGUGUGUGUGUGUGCCACUGUGCCGGGAGAGCUGGGACAAAAAGGAACUGGCAGCAAAUCUGCGGUGACCAGCCAGAGCAGCAGCCUGGGAUAAGACAGCAUCCAGCCCAGAGGACUGUGGGGAAACAGGCUGAACAAGCCCAGCACCCCUCUUUUCCAUCAUGGGUCACUCAAGUGCAAAAAGGAUUGCUUCUGACCACUUUCAACAAGAAAGUGAACCACACUGAAGAAGUAGCCCAGACACCCGGCCAACAUCCCACCAUCAAGAUCAAUGGAAAUGUGCUGCAGAGAAGUGGUAAUCCCCUGAAAAAGCCCACUUAAACUCCCUGUAGAUCUUUUUGGUCUUUUAUUUCUGUCCUUCUCAAACUCUUUCUGGUGCUUAGUUCUGAAGAGACACACUGCUUUCUGGGCAGCAGGCUGCAUUACCAUCCUAAGAACACUCUGUCUCCAGCAGAUCCUCUCUCCAGUCUCCACUUGCGUGGGCUGUUGAGUGGUUAAGUGUGGAUUCAAGCCUCCUUGUCAUAGCUGGCUAGGCAGGCAUUUCAGUGGCGACACGGGGGGCAUCCUGCUGGAGAGGUGAAGGCCCUUGAGUCGGCUGGAGUGGGGGAGCAUGCAUACCUCGGGGACUUCUCUUUUCCAUCGGGCUUGACUACAAAAUGUGCUGUGGCCUUAAUCACAUACAGCUUUUGUCUGUGACACGGUAGAUAUAAUGUAAGACACAGCCUUUCUUGAACCACAGAAGGACUGUUAAGACUGUUUAUCUGCAGCUGCUUCUCCAGGAUGAGCCAUGAAGUAUACCCUAGUUAGUGAAUAGGAGGAUUUAGCUGGUUUCAGGGCUUGGGAGUAACUAACUUCUGCUGAAAUCACUGGAAACCCUCUCUGCCACAUAGAUCAGGGCUCCAAAGGCCAUGGCUUUUCACACUAAGAUGCUAUAACAAACUAUCCUGAUGCAUCCUAGCAGCCUAGAUACCAGACCACUAAAGACUGCAUGCCAAAAAUUCCUUGAUGCUUGAAUGCCAGUCUCAUGUCCAAAAGCAGCCAGACAAAUCAGUGGGAAAGCCUGAGAAAGACAUUUUCAUAUAAAAAUCUUGCCUCUCUCUUCACGUUUAUGCAGGCCACAUUUUGUGUUGCUUGAUUGUCCAAGGAAGGAAAAGCAAAGAGCAUUCAGUGAGUAGAACUAAUGUGAAAGCUGGGAUUUGGGGGGUGCUUGAAUAAAAUUGAAUAGGGAGGCA